GUCCUGAUGGCGGAGUGGGUAACGAGGUGACCUGGAAAGGCAUUUCCCUUGCGGAGCACAGGUUUGAAUCCCUUGCAGGACG
Non-coding RNA from Zopfochytrium polystomum, 82 nucleotides. The record is from the annotation of a GenBank genome assembly. NCBI's taxonomy places the organism in Eukaryota, Fungi, Chytridiomycota, Chytridiomycetes, Chytridiales, Chytridiaceae.